AGAGUUUGAUCCUGGCUCAGAACGAACGCUGGCGGCAUGCCUAAUACAUGCAAGUCGAACGCUUUUGGGGUUUCGGCUCCAAGGGAGUGGCGCACGGGUGAGUAGCGCGUGGGAACCUGCCCUGUUGUGGGGGAUAACCGAGGGAAACUUCGGCUAAUACCGCAUGCGCCCCGGGGAAACCCGGGGAAAGAUUUAUCGCA
Molecule: ribosomal RNA, 200 nt
Filed under: uncultured bacterium
Lineage: Bacteria
Description: partial 16S ribosomal RNA
Rfam family: Bacterial small subunit ribosomal RNA
Source: RNAcentral